GGACGUGGAUAUAACAGUACAACAUAACAAAGAAGUAUUAAUAUCAGCUGAAAAAGGCUUAACUCAUCAGAUGGACAAAAAUACAAGUAGACGUGUUCGGGUAAUUGUACAUCCCAACAACAAAAAGACACUAGAAACAGAUCUGAGAGUACUCGCAGUUAUCUGACAGAUAGUUCAAAGCCACUAACAAUUAAUAAAAAAAAAUAGGCAUCUAAGACUAAACUAUCAAUCCGUACACAUCCAACACCUAAUGGAUUUAGUGUAAAGACGUCAUAAACAGUCAGUGAAAAAAAAACAUGUCUUGUGCAAUGCCAAGUUACAGGUUUACAUUUUAUGGAUAUAGGAUCUUAGAGGCAGUAUCCAAAACAUUGCAAUUAUAACAGAAAAUAAUAGUAUAUAGCUCAUUUUUACGUUAUUUUUUUAAAGAAGCGUUAUAUGGCGACAUAACUUAUAUUAACUUAAAAAUAAAGAGGAGCCUGUAAUUCAGUGGUCGCCGUUUGUUUAUGUGUUGCAUAUUAGUUUUUC
RNAcentral lists this long non-coding RNA (525 nucleotides) under Mytilus galloprovincialis (Mediterranean mussel). Lineage: Eukaryota; Metazoa; Mollusca; Bivalvia; Mytilida; Mytilidae. The record is from RNAcentral.